GAUGAACGCUAGCUACAGGCUUAACACAUGCAAGUCGAACGGAGCACCCCUGAAGGAGUUUUCGGACAACGGAUGGGAAUGCUUAGUGGCGGACUGGUGAGUAACGCGUGAGGAACCUGCCUUCCAGAGGGGGACAACAGUUGGAAACGACUGCUAAUACCGCAUGAUGCGUUGGAGCCGCAUGACUCCGACGUCAAAGAUUUAUCGCUGGAAGAUGGCCUCGCGUCUGAUUAGCUAGUUGGUGAGGUAACGGCCCACCAAGGCGACGAUCAGUAGCCGGACUGAGAGGUUGGCCGGCCACAUUGGGACUGAGAUACGGCCCAG
Molecule: ribosomal RNA, 324 nt
Filed under: uncultured bacterium
Lineage: Bacteria
Description: bacterial SSU rRNA
Rfam family: Bacterial small subunit ribosomal RNA
Source: RNAcentral